Molecule: non-coding RNA, 29 nt
Filed under: Plasmodium falciparum 3D7
Lineage: Eukaryota; Apicomplexa; Aconoidasida; Haemosporida; Plasmodiidae
Source: RNAcentral
UUCUUCUUUUUCAGAUGUGAUAAAGGAUG